UUUUUUCUUUUUUUUUUUUUUUGCUUUUUAGGGCUGCACUGAGGCAUAUGGAAGUUCACAGGCUAGGGGUGGAAUUGGAGCUGCAGCCUAUGCCUCAGCUACAGCAACACAGAAACCAAGCUGUGUCUGCUACCUACACCACAGCUCACGGCAAUGCUGGAUCCUUGACCCACUGAUUGAGGCCAGGGAUUGAAUCUGCAUCCUCAUGAUACUAGUCAGGUUCGUUUCCUCUGAGCCACAGCGGCAACUCCCUAACAUUUUAAAGUCACUAUAAUUUGCCAUGUGAAUGGAGUAAAAGGAUAAUCUCAAUAGGUUAUAUGAUUUUCUCAAUAGAUACAGAAAAUGUAUUUGGUUAAUUUCAAAUCUGUUUCCCAGAAAAAAAUCUUAACUAGGAAAAGAAAGGAAAUUCCUAGCUGAUAAAAAGUAUGUAUAAAACAUACACUAACUAUGAUAUGCAAGAGUAAAUGUUAAAUGUUUGCUCGCUGAAAAAUGUUCACUAGCAUCACUGUAUUAAUCACCACAGCAGAAGUCCAGUACAAGAAGGGAAGAGAAAGAAAUGUAUUUGGAUUAUAGUAGAAAUAAAAGUGCCAGCCUGUUUUCUUUUAUUCUGUUCACAUGGUAAGUUAAUGUUAUACUUUAAAGUAGACUAACAACUGAGGACUCUCUGUAGGCAGCACUCUUAGCAUUUUUUGGUUGCCCCAGGUAAAGAUCGUUCCCUUGCUUAAGGCCACAGCCACUUCUUAGGGGCAGCUUUAUCCAAUGACCGGGGUAUGUGGUAUAUAAAGUCAUGGCUCCUUCAUUCCAACUUGAGCGUCCUAGCGUCAGAAUACCCUGCAGACUUGGCGGAGGCCUUUGUUGAGACUGCAUCACCAUCCUCUCCUUCUGCCCAGUCUUAUUUUAUUUACAUCCCUUCCAUGGGGGUUGAUUCUAAAAGCUGCCUAAUAAACUUAUUCCAGACUAGUCUCCACCUUCCAUCCUGAUUUCUGGGGCACCAAACCUACAGCAAUUGGCACUAGAAGCGGCUGGAGAAAGCAGAUGCUAAGAGGAGAUUUUGAAGCUGGAGUACCUGCUGCUUGAGUGGCAGUGAAGACCCAUCCUUGGUGGUAAGUGGAACACAGACUUUGACAUGAGGUAGAACUGCAAUUAUAAGAGUUUUUACUGUGGCAAACUGGGAUGAUAUACUGGCAGAAUGGGACUCACAAGCCGGUUGUGAUAGCAGGCCUCUGAGAAAUAUGUAGUAACCAUACCAAAAUGGACAGUGGACUUGGAGAGCUGUUGCUAAGCUUCACUAAUGCUUUGGAAAAAGAUAACAAAAGGCUCGGAGUGAUAAAUUGGCAAUUAAAAGCUAAGAGGGAAAUCCAAAGAGCUUCCUUGGUAGCCUAUAAAGAGACCUUAAUCUCCAUAGCCUAAAAGCAGAGAAAGCUGAAGACCAGGCCCAGGUCAGAGCUCUAAAGCUAGGCCUGUACUAUGGUCUGUCCCCACCCCCGCCCCAAAUUCAUAUGUUGAAACCUAAUCCCUAAGGUGAGAGUAUUUGGAGAUGGGCCUUUAGAUGAUUAAGUCAUGAGAGGGGAACUGUUGAAAUUAAUGCUCUUAUAAAAGAGGCCCCACAGAGCUUUCUAUCCCCUUCCACUCUGUGAGGACACAGGGUGAAGGCACCCUCUGAAAGAAAGCGGUUUCCCAUGAGAUGCUGAAUCUGCUCACACCGUAAUAUUGGACUCCCCAGUCUCUAGAACUGUGAGGCAUAAAUGUUUGUUGUUUAUAAGCCACCCAGACGGUGGCAACUUGUUAUAGUAGCCUCAGCAAACUAAGAGAGCAUGUCUGUUAUGUGUGGGUUCAGGUCAGGAAAUAAUAGAAUCACAUUAGACAAAAACUUUGAAUCUCCAGGUUCUCCAAACCUCGGAACCUAGGAAAGUGGCACACACCUCUAUUAAUGAACUGCUGCUUCUCCCUUCUUUGAAGAUUGCAGACAUUUCCCCUGUGUAAGACACAUGCCAUACCCUCUCCCAGGAUCUGCCCCCAGUUUCCUCCUGGCCCAAAGCCCCUAAAUAACAAGGGUCGAACACGAGAUAGCUGGGGAAAGGUCAUUCUGAGCCUGGGAAGGGAGAAAAGGGGCCAGACUUGAAAGGAGAGGCAGGAUCUAGUCAAUAUGACCAAUAGGAGCCAGAAAAAAAAUAUGCACGGGACUAUAUUCUGAGGGCACUGGAUCUAGGGGGAGAACAUAAGAUUUGAUAAAACAAGAAUUUAUUGAUUUGGGAACACUCUGUCAAGAUACAGAGUUUAACAACCUGGCAAGGACCCUGCCAGAUGGCACAAACACAGUUAGAGUGGCUUCUACAGACAAGGGAAUAGUAACAGUCUACAUUCAAUGAAGUAGAAAAGCCAGUGACGCCAGAAUGCGAUCCCUGUGCCAGACAACAGGAGGAAACAAAAGGCGCAGAGAACUAGCUGUGUUAGGGAGAUCUGUGUUGGAAUGUCGGAAAGUCCACUGGAUGUCUGUGGUCCUGAGGCAAAGCCCUGACAGGUGGCGACACAGAGUACAGCCCACCCCAUGUACCUCUCACAUACAUUGCUUUCUGUAACUUCUGGGAGUAACUCCCCUGGGACUCCCAUGUGUGUCUUUCUCCAAAGGAGAGGUUGGUGGGAGGCUCUGCAGCCCCUGCCACUUGUAUCUGGUCUCAGGAGCUGUAACUGAUACUCACUGUUUUCUUCCACUAAACUCUUCUCACCCUUGCUGAGCAUCUCAGCUGGGCUGAGCAGCUUACCUGGCGGUGUGAUUAUCCUUUAUUUCUGAGUAGUCUGAGCUCUUGGUCGCCAUGCUUUGUCCAGCCAGGGCCUCGGUACUUGUGUGUUUACAGGUAACACUGGUUGAAGGAGAUCAACAAGCAUCCCUGGGUACCGGACAUACUCCUUCAUGCUGUUAUUGUGUAACCAGAGCUCUAGCUCGUGAGAUUUGGCAGAACAAAGAUGUCUUUAAAGGCCAUGUAAACAUGCACUCUAAGAGAAAAAAAGACACCUUUUAUUACAAAAAAAUUAGUAUUUUUAGAUCAAAAACAAUGUUAAGGGAGUGGAAAAUCAUCCACAGAUUAGGAUAACUCACAUUUAAGACAUAACAAUAUUCCUAUAAAAUAUGCUGAUCCAUGUCCAGCGUAUAUAAAGAAACCACGAAUUGCAUAGAGGAAAAAGUUAACCUAAUAGAAAACGGGCAAAAGACGUAGGCCUCUCACAGACGAGGAUGUCUACAUGGGCAAUGGUGAAGCUACAGGUCAUUAGCCACGAAGGAAAUGCAAAUUAAAACCCUAGUGGACAUCAUUUCAGUCUUCCCGCGAAGGCUCAACUGCAGAAGAUAGAAAGCACCACGAGCUGGGGAGACACGGAAGGGCUGAACUUCCAUAAACUGCUUGUCCGGAAAGAUAAGUUGAUACAACUUAUACUUACCUGAGAAAUAUCUGCUACAGAUGCUUAUACACACCCUAUGUAGUAACCCCUACAAAUAUGCACAGACAUGUGACAAGAGGCAGGAACAAGAACGGUUUGUGCUGGUGGUAUUUUUAACAGCCAAAACCUGAAAGUAAUCAAAGGCCUACUUCACAGGAGAAUGGAGAAAUAAAUUGGAGUAUACUCAAUAAAGGACAGCCAAACACAUUUCAUGGUUCCAUUUAUACACAUUUACAAACCAGGCAAGACUAAUAAGAGGAGGAAGGUUUAGUCAUGGGAAACGGGCACAGGGCGGGGCACUUCUGAGAGGUGAAGUUCAGUUCCUUGAUCUCGGUGGCCAGACACGUGGAUAUGCCCUCUUAGAAAAAAUUUUUCCUACUUGGAGAAAAUUCAUGGAGCUGCACAGUGAUGAUUCUGCACUUUCCUUUAGGUAUGUGGUACCCCAGUUAAAAUGUUAAAAGUAAAGUUAGCCAACCAGCGGAGUCUUUGAACUAGCAACUUAUAUUUAAAAACAAACAAACAAAAAUAAAUAAAAACUAAACACGGUCGUAUCUGUGAUGGAACCUUUUUGUUCAGGUGGUUCAGCAGGAUGCCUUUUGUAUGUUUCAUGAGCUCACCCUCUAUUCUCUAGCGCAUUGGUCCAUUUUUUUCCUCUUGGUACUAAUUACUGUUUGAAAUUGUUUACUUGUCUGACUAUAAUGUACAAGCAGGGAUCUUAUCUUUUGUUUACUGCUAUAUCCAGAUCAGUGCUUGGCACAUAGUAGGAGCUCAGUUAAUAUUUUCUGAGUGAAGGGAAAAAGGUGGUGAGAGUAUGUAUAAAAAGACAAGGCCUUUGCUUGAUCAGAAGUUAAACUCAUUCUAACACUGGCUUUGUUCAGUGAUAGUCACAUUUUAGAGCUACACACAAGCAUCUGCUAUUCUUAAAAAUUAGUGCAGAAGAUAUGCCUUGUUACUGUGCAUCCGAAACUCUCUAUCUUCUAAUUUCUGUAUUUUCCAUCAAAACAACUUUUUUUUUUUUUUUUUUUUUUGGCUGCACCCAUGACAUGUCGAAGUUCCCGGGCCAGGUAUCAAACCUGUGCCACAGCUGUGACCUGAGUGCCUGCAGUAACAAUGCUGGAUCCUUAGCCCAGUGCACCACAAAGGAACUCCAAAACAUCUAUUUUUUUAAAACAGCAUUUUUCAUAGUUGUAGAUUCUUGGGACUACAGUUAUGCAUUUAAGUAGUAAAGACUAAAUGUAAUAAAAUGACAAAGUGGAAGGGCUAGAUUAUAAUCCCUACAAAAAUUUGAAGGAGGAAGAGAUUCUCUGGGGCUAAAGCAGCCAGAAAACUUUCUGGAAGAAGAUGGGUCCUGAGCUUCUGUGAAUAAUGAAUAGGGUGGGAGAAGGGAGAAGGCGUUUGGGUGAGAGAAGCAACACUGAAACAUGAGAAGGGGGGCUGUGUCCAUUUCCCUCUGCCUGGGGUCCAGGGCAACCAGAUGGCACUGGGGUUGAUCGUGGAAGCUCCAGAGAUAUAGAAGGAAAUGUGGUUCAGGAGCCCAACAUGAAUGUUUAAGCACCUGGGGCAGCAUCCUGUUCCAGCUCAUUGCCUACCUCUUCUGUGCCCAGAAUCACAUUCAGUAUUAUUGUUGAUUAAAACCACAAGAUUUGCUGGUGGUGAUGAUGAUACUGGUAGGGAAGGUACACGUGUAUGUACACAUGUUGGCAGUGUCAGAAUAAUAUGUAUUCACUCCCCUCAUUUGCUAAAUUUGUUCCUCUUACAAGUAGUGGUACAAAUAUUUCUACAUUCAUUACAUAGUAAUGGGGUGUCUGUUGUGAGCUAGGGAUGAGGAUAGAAAGAUAAAAGAGACACUUUUGGCUUUUAUGGCAUUCACUACCUAGUGGGAUAGAACUGUCAACAUACAUAAUGACUAUUUGGUGGGAUAUGUAUGGUGUCAAUUAUAUUUAAAGUACACCAGAUAUAGAUGGAGACAGUAAUCAAAACGGGUGCAGGGCACUUUCAGGGACAAGGAGAGAUCAUUGGACAGGUCCAUGUAUAACUCCUGGGAUAUAGCAAUUUGGUUGCUUUGAAUAAGUGAUGUUGUCAUUGCCAAUCCUGAGCAAAUGAAAAGGAAAGGAGUGAGGGAUAAGUAGGAGCCACACAAGACAGCUCCAGGGUUAAGUCCAGCCAGGAAGCAGUGGCCCAUUUGGCCUAUAGAGCUGGGGGGAGGGGAGAGAGAGAAUAAAAAAAAAAAGAUUAGUUAUCAUAAUUCCAAAGUCAGGAGAUCACAAAAAGGUCUGGAUUAACAAUUUCUCUUGAGAUGGUGGAAGAUUUGGCAACAAGUGGAUUGUGGUCUCUGAUAGUCCCUAGCCAGCUCUGCUCAUGCAGCUGCUCCUCUCUCCUGGCCCCUGUGUGGAUCUGAACUUGAUCCGUAUUUAAUGGGAUGGCGGGGUCAGAGACCAGCUGAGGAGAUCCAUAGCACAUAAUACUGGCUAAUAAAAAAGGCUCACACCGCAUGGUCUUAUGUUAAAAGCAGAAAGAACUUAUUUAUAAAAACAGACUCACAGAUUUCAAAAUAAAACUUUGGGUUACCAUAGGGGAAACUGGGGUGCGGGGGAGAGGGAUCGAUUAGGAGGAUGGGGAUAACAUAUACAUACUUCUGUGUAUAAAACAGAUAACUAACAGGGUCCUACUGUAUAGCACAGGGAGCUAUUCUGUAAUAACCUCUAUGGGAAAACAAUGGAUAUAUGUAUAUGUAUAACGGAGUCACUUUGCUGUCCAGCUGAAACUAACACAACAUUGUAAGUCAGCGCUACUCUGAUAAAAGGAGCAUUUCACAAAUCUGCAGUGGAAUUGUAUACUCAUUGAUUAAUUAAGACCUAACCCUAAAGAAUGGAAUCACCAGCAGCAUUUGUGUCCUUAACAUAUUUCAUAAUU
Molecule: long non-coding RNA, 6348 nt
Filed under: Sus scrofa (pig)
Lineage: Eukaryota; Metazoa; Chordata; Mammalia; Artiodactyla; Suidae
Description: lncRNA (ENSSSCG00015066865.1)
Source: RNAcentral